RNAcentral lists this ribosomal RNA (401 nucleotides) under Mesorhizobium sp. Its description in RNAcentral is "partial 23S ribosomal RNA". It matches the Rfam family "Bacterial large subunit ribosomal RNA", at positions 404 to 809 of the family's 2925-position model. Lineage: Bacteria; Pseudomonadati; Pseudomonadota; Alphaproteobacteria; Hyphomicrobiales; Phyllobacteriaceae. The record is from RNAcentral.
GUCCUUGAGUAGGGCGGGACACGUGAAAUCCUGUCUGAACAUGGGGAGACCACUCUCCAAGCCUAAGUACUCGUGCAUGACCGAUAGCGAACAAGUACCGUGAGGGAAAGGUGAAAAGCACCCCGACGAGGGGAGUGAAAUAGAACCUGAAACCGGAUGCCUACAAACAGUCGGAGCCCGCAAGGGUGACGGCGUACCUUUUGUAUAAUGGGUCAACGACUUAGUGUAACUAGCAAGCUUAAGCCGGUAGGUGUAGGCGCAGCGAAAGCGAGUCUGAAUAGGGCGAUUGAGUUAGUUGCAUUAGACCCGAAACCGAGUGAUCUAGCCAUGAGCAGGCUGAAGGUUGGGUAACACCAACUGGAGGGCCGAACCCAUAACUGUUGCAAUAGUUCGGGAUGACU